Molecule: transfer RNA, 73 nt
Filed under: Felis catus (domestic cat)
Lineage: Eukaryota; Metazoa; Chordata; Mammalia; Carnivora; Felidae
Also listed under: 4 other names
Rfam family: tRNA
About the family: Transfer RNA (tRNA) molecules are approximately 80 nucleotides in length. Their secondary structure includes four short double-helical elements and three loops (D, anti-codon, and T loops).
Source: Rfam by way of RNAcentral
GCCUGGUUGGCUCAGUCAGUAGAACAUGUGACUCUUGAUCUCGAGGUCAUGCGUUCAAGCCCCAUAUUGGGUG